Non-coding RNA from Manis javanica (Malayan pangolin), 3524 nucleotides. The record is from RefSeq and is a predicted model, not a curated record. NCBI's taxonomy places the organism in Eukaryota, Metazoa, Chordata, Mammalia, Pholidota, Manidae.
CAGUAAGAAAUAUGCCCUAAGAAUGCAUCAGGAUUCAGAACAAAUAAAUCUGUGUAAAGAGACUAUAUCAACAGGAAACUUUUGUUAGCUGAAAAAUUGGGAAGGAUGAUUUCAUAACUCUCCUGGGUUACAAAGCACAGUAGGUAAAUCAAUGAUAUGGUAGCAAAGACUCUAGUUUCUUAUUAUGGUGUGCUUUCAGCUCAAAGAAAAGAAAGAUAUUUCAUUCAGUAUAAUAGCAUGUAUGCCACAUAGCCAUUGGUUAAUAAGGUCAAAGAAAGUAUCAGUAUAUAGAACUCUCCAGGUUAGCCUUCCACCAGCAGCCUAAAGGUGAAUCAAAUUGUGUUGGUUUCUCCCCAGAGGUGGUGCUAACCUGUGGACAUAAGGACAGCUGCAACCAGAGUUAGACUGUGCAGCUCCCAGCUCGGCUCCACCCUGCUCCAAGAGGAUUAAGGAUGGAAAAAGCCUGAAGGGCACAGAACUCAACAACACUCGAUAAUAAAACUUUCCUAGAGUGAAUAACAUGGAAAAGAGGCCCAGUCAUGGGCCCUAGGCAUUGAGCUUGGAGUUAAGACAGCAUUGUAAGUUCUCAUCACUACCUUUCUGUUAUGAACUAACCAGAAUUUUCCUGGUAAGAGUCUUGUUGGGUUACCACACAAGACUCUUUACUAGGAAAAUUAUGGCUUCUUAAUGGACCUAAAAAGUGAAUGAGCAUGUUGUGUUCUCCUCUGCAAAGAUCUCACUGGGCUAGGGUUGUAAGGAGGCUAGAGCUGGGAGACCAGAAUAGGGCAGUCAGGACCUCUGAGUGGCUGGGACCUUUGGAGACACAGCUUAUUCCUCUUGCCUGGAGAGUGGCUCUCUUUGCCUUGUCUCUUGUGGUACCUCAACCAAUAUCUCUUGAGUAUUUCCCAUCCCAAACCACAUCAAUACACUGACAGGUCCAUAGGUGACAAAGAGAUCCCAAGCAUUUAUCUUUGAGUGCUUCUAGGCUUUUGCUACCAGAAUCAACCUAAUUUACACCACUGCCACUAAGUGUUUGGGCUUGUCCAUGGUAAUGUGUGCACCAAACAAUGCAGGAGAAUCCAGCAGGUGGUAGAGAGGGCACUGCCAGCUCCAGCCUUGGUUCUUUGUAGAUGAUGUGGACUGACAAGUAAACUGUGACUGUCAUACUCCUCUCACCUUCUAAGGAUACAAACAUCAAGAAAGGUCAGUCCUCAGAUCUGCCUAUUAUCCUGUAUCUGCUUGUUAUGAGUACAUGCCUUCCUGAAAGCCAGAUUGCCUGAGUUCACGCCCUGCUCUGCCACUACCGUAUGACGUAAGUCAAGCUGCUCAACUGCUGUGUCUCCUCACCUAAAAAAUAGGGUCAUGAUAAUACUUAGUUCAUAGGGUUCUAGAGAUAAUUAACAUGUGCAGUGUGUGUUAGGUACUAUUUUUAAGCCCCUUGGCAUGCACAGAUUCUCAGAUCGUCAACCUUGCAGUUACAAAGCACAGAAUAUUUGGCUAAUUGUCUAGUGCACUUCUCAUUUGUAAAGAAAAGAAAACUAAAAUCCAGAGACAAGACAGGCCUUCCCCCAAAGUCAAAUGGUGAUCACGAAUAGAGCAAGUACCAGCAUUUGAGCUCCCUGCCCUCUGAGUCAACUUUUAAGCGGGCCGUUGUUAUUGGGCAAUGAGAUCAUUCUAUAGAGUAAAUUGGCCAUUUUCUAGAUUAGCUAGUCUUGCUUGCUUAGGCUUUCUAAAUGGGCAUAAGGUCGAGGAUUUUGUAGUUUAAAACCAUAAUGCCGGAGUCUGAGUUGUGUGAACUCAGAAGUACACUGGUUUCAGAGGGCAAAAUUACAAAUAGCCAGCGGCAGGAGUGCCCAUCCUUCCAGGGCCGCCAGACCUUGGUGCUAAGUGCUGGGUGAACACUGACUGAAGGAGGCUGCGCAGGAGGGGGUGGAAGUGGUUUUGCCAUCUGGAGCUGAGGAAAAAAAAGACCUAUGGUUCAUGUACAUAUUCGGUAUGGCAGCAUGGUAAUGAAAUUGGCUUCGUCGGCCAGGCAGGAAAGUGGGUGCCUUUAUAUUAUAGUUGUGCCUCACAUAUUAUCUACACAAAUCCCCACCAUCCAUCCCCCAAGAUCAUGACUGACUGUGCCAGCCACAGCAGGCAUUAUGGCCCUUUUUACUACCUCUUCCUCCUUCCCCCAUUUGUGGACCCUCAAAAUUCAUUUCAAUAUGAUUAAUCCUCAGUACAAAGAUUGGGGUAGGGCGCAGUGUGAACUGCCAUGAUGGAAAGGAAAGAAUUAAAAACAACACUUAGAAUAAAACCAGUCCACGGGCCCAAGUUGUAAGUGGAGGAAGAGUUACGCUUGCUUGGAGGCCACCGGCAGCCUUGCUGGUGUGGUGUCCUGGAGCCAGCGACACACAGCCCCCAGGACAGGGGAGACUUCCUUUCCCAGUCCGCAGGGCCCAUCAUUCCUUUAUUUCUGUUGCACCGAGACCGUUUCUUCAUGUCCUUGAAGGCUGGGGCUACCUCUUACUCUUUAUCUCUUGGGUUCUCAGGAACUGGCCGUUACCAGAUUUUGUGAGUUAAUUAAUUGUUUAUGCCUCACUGAGUCCUGGCAUGUUGGGAAAUAAGUGGCAUUUUCUUCUAGACUUGAACCUGUUGACGUUUUGAGCCUAGGGCAGCCCUGGUAUUGAUACCGGGAAGAGACACCUGGGAGUUCCUCCCUCGGAGGUCCCGACAUCCUUGGGUUGACCUCACACCUCUUUUCCUUCAAACCAGGCUGUUGCUGCUGAAAUUGAGCCUUGGUAUGAGAAUGAAUAGCCUGAGAAAGCCUAGCAGGAUAUGCACUCCUCUGCCCAGUGGCCUGAAUACAUUUGUUGGGAAUAAAGUAGAAGAGGGACAGGAAAGCACUAGCCAAUACAGCUUAGAUUACAAGGGAAAUGAAGAGCAGUGCUGAGGAAGAAGCUCCUGCAAUGCCUCCCAGUUGCCUCCCUUCCUCAGCUUCACUGUCACUGCUCAGUCUCUCCAGGACUUGUCUGAGGAGUCCAGCUAAGAAAAACACCCACAGAGAGGACGGAAGUUGGAGAAACAGCAGCAGCAGAGAUGGUGUUUAUUGGUAUAAAGUUUCCAGCACUUCAUCUCACUUUUCAGAGGCCCCAUCAUUUUCUCAACUUAAUUGUCAUUCUUUUGAGUGAUUCUAACACAAACUUAGUUUCCCCUUCCACUCCCUCACACUCUCCUCUUUAUUCCUUUUUUCCUUCUCUUCCUUUUUGUGGUUAAGGAGCAGUGGACAGACAUAUCUACUCCAUGGUCUUCCAAGUCUGAAAACCUCCCAUUCUCCCCUCCUCUCACAUUUACUAGAGACUCUGCUGUUUGCUUUCCCUUCGGAGAGGGGAAGUGGCCCCAGGAACCCACUCCCUGAAGGGGCUGUGUUUAUGCAACUAGUGCCCACAUGUUUCAGGCUGUGGCUCCCACUGAUUCAGCUCUGGGGACUCAGCACGCAGCAACAAAAACUGGGGAGUUUGAGAUCCCUGGAGAGUUGGAAA